GGGCCCGCACAAGCGGAGGAGCAUGUGGUUUAAUUCGAUGAUACGCGAGGAACCUUACCCGGGCUUGAACGUAAGACGAAUAUACAGGAAACUGUAUAGCCUACGGGCGUCUUGCGAGGUGCUGCAUGGUUGUCGUCAGCUCGUGCCGUGAGGUGUUAGGUUAAGUCCUGCAACGAGCGCAACCCUUACACAUAGUUGCCAGCACGUAAUGGUGGGGACUCUAUGGGAACUGCCUACGCAAGUAGAGAGGAAGGUGGGGAUGACGUCAAAUCAGCACGGCCCUUAUGUUCGGGGCUACACACGUGCUACAAUGGCAUAUACAGAGGGCAGCCACUACGCGAGUAGGCGCUAAUCCUCAAAGUAUGUCUCAGUUCGGAUUGGAGUCUGUAACUCGACUCUAUGAAGUUGGAUUCGCUAGUAAUCGCGCAUCAGCCAUGGCGCGGUGAAUACGUUCCCGGGCCUU
Molecule: ribosomal RNA, 463 nt
Filed under: uncultured bacterium
Lineage: Bacteria
Description: bacterial SSU rRNA
Rfam family: Bacterial small subunit ribosomal RNA
Source: RNAcentral